AACGAACGCUGGCGGCAUGCCUAACACAUGCAAGUCGAACGAGACCUUCGGGUCUAGUGGCGCACGGGUGCGUAACGCGUGGGAAUCUGCCCUCUGGUACGGAAUAACUCAGGGAAACUUGAGCUAGUACCGUAUAAUGACUUCGGUCCAAAGAUUUAUCGCCUGAGGAUGAGCCCGCGUCGGAUUAGCUAGUUGGUGAGGUAGAGGCUCACCAAGGCGACGAUCCGUAGCUGGUCUGAGAGGAUGAUCAGCCACACUGGGACUGAGACACGGCCCAGACUCCUACGGGAGGCAGCAGUGGGGAAUAUUGGACAAUGGGCGAAAGCCUGAUCCAGCAAUGCCGCGUGAGUGAUAAAGGCCUUAGGGUUGUAAAGCUCUUUUGCCCGGGAUGAUAAUGACAGUACCGGGAGAAUAAGCCCCGGCUAACUCCGUGCCAGCAGCCGCAGUAA
Molecule: ribosomal RNA, 449 nt
Filed under: uncultured bacterium
Lineage: Bacteria
Description: partial 16S ribosomal RNA
Rfam family: Bacterial small subunit ribosomal RNA
Source: RNAcentral